AUGAACGCUAGCGGCAGGCUUAACACAUGCAAGUCGAACGGCAGCACAGGUAGCAAUACUGGGUGGCGAGUGGCGCGCGGGUGCGUAACGCGUAUGCAACCUACCUCUAUCUGGGAGAUAGCCCGAAGAAAUUCGGAUUAAUACCCCAUAAUAUAUGUCUUUCGCAUGUUAGACAUAUUAAAGCUUUGGCGGAUAGAGAUGGGCAUGCGUGACAUUAGCUAGUUGGUAAGGUAACGGCUUACCAAGGCUACGAUGUCUAGGGGGUCUGAGAGGAUUAUCCCCCACACUGGUACUGAGACACGGACCAGACUCCUACGGGAGGCAGCAGUGAGGAAUAUUGGACAAUGGGCGAAAGCCUGAUCCAGCCAUGCCGCGUGCAGGAAGACGGCCCUAUGGGUUGUAAACUGCUUUUAUAUGGGAAUAAACCUCCGAACGUGUUCGGAGCUGAAGGUACCAUACGAAUAAGGAUCGGCUAACUCCGUG
RNAcentral lists this ribosomal RNA (483 nucleotides) under uncultured bacterium. Its description in RNAcentral is "bacterial SSU rRNA". It matches the Rfam family "Bacterial small subunit ribosomal RNA", at positions 29 to 507 of the family's 1533-position model. The record is from RNAcentral.